UACAGAGGUCCCAAGCGUUUGUUCGGAUUCACUGGGCGUAAAGGGUGCGUAGGUGGUGAGGUAAGUCGGAUGUGAAAGCUCGGAGCUCAACUCCGAAAUGGCAUUGGAAACUACCUUGCUCGAGGGUUGGAGGGGGGACUGGAAUGCUUGGUGUAGCAGUGAAAUGCGUAGAUAUCAAGCGGAACACCAGUGGCGAAGGCGAGUCCCUGGACAACUCCUGACACUGAGGCACGAAAGCUAGGGGAGCAAACAGG
This 254-nucleotide ribosomal RNA is filed under the name uncultured bacterium. RNAcentral's name for it is "partial 16S ribosomal RNA". It matches the Rfam family "Bacterial small subunit ribosomal RNA", at positions 524 to 776 of the family's 1533-position model. The record is from RNAcentral.